CCUACGGGCGGCAGCAGUGAGGGAUAUUGGUCAAUGGGGGAAACCCUGAACCAGCAACGCCGCGUGAGGGAAGACGGUUUUCGGAUUGUAAACCUCUGUCCUCUGUGAAGAUAAUGACGGUAGCAGAGGAGGAAGCUCCGGCUAACUACGUGCCAGCAGCCGCGGUAAUACGGAGGAUUCGAGCGUUAUCCGGAUUUACUGGGUGUAAAGGGAGCGUAGACGGCAGCGCAAGUCUGGAGUGAAAUCCCAUGGCUUAACCAUGGAACUGCUUUGGAAACUGUGCAGCUAGAGUGCAGGAGAGGUAAGCGGAAUUCCUAGUGUAGCGGUGAAAUGCGUAGAUAUUAGGAGGAACACCAGUGGCGAAGGCGGCUUACUGGACUGUAACUGACGUUGAGGCUCGAAAGCGUGGGGAGCAAACAGGAUUAGAUACCCUUGUAGUC
RNAcentral lists this ribosomal RNA (440 nucleotides) under uncultured bacterium. RNAcentral describes it as "partial 16S ribosomal RNA". It matches the Rfam family "Bacterial small subunit ribosomal RNA", at positions 338 to 795 of the family's 1533-position model. The record is from RNAcentral.